This 253-nucleotide ribosomal RNA is filed under the name uncultured bacterium. RNAcentral describes it as "partial 16S ribosomal RNA". It matches the Rfam family "Bacterial small subunit ribosomal RNA", at positions 524 to 776 of the family's 1533-position model. RNAcentral also lists the same sequence under 1 other name. The record is from RNAcentral.
UACGAAGGGGGCUAGCGUUGUUCGGAAUUACUGGGCGUAAAGCGCGCGCAGGCGGUUCUUCAAGUCAGAGGUGAAAGCCCAGGGCUCAACCCUGGAAUGGCCUUUGAGACUAGAGGACUUGGGUACGGGAGAGGUGAGUGGAAUUCCGAGUGUAGAGGUGAAAUUCGUAGAUAUUCGGAAGAACACCAGUGGCGAAGGCGGCUCACUGGCCCGUUACCGACGCUCAGGCGCGACAGCGUGGGGAGCAAACAGG